AAUGAAAAUCUCUACAGCUUAUGUCCCUCCCCCCUUUUCAAGAACAGAAAAACCCCCAAAUCCCUAUUUCAUUCUUAUCCCCAUUUUCUCUCUCACAAAUUUCAACAACGGACAAGAUUUGCAGCGACGUUCGCCACCACCGUGACAAAUCUCGUUGACCACAACGUCCGCCGUUCACCGACGCGAGGCAGAGCUCCACCUUAUUUUCUCUCACUUUGGCUCUCUCAUUACUCCCCAUCACCUUCUCCGCUGUGUCUCGGCAACAAAUGCUAUAUUGAAAAUUUUGGCCGAUUAACUGCUAAUUCGCAGUUCGAUUGCUGCUUCACAAGUGUUAGAUUGUUGAAAAUAGGAUUUAUGAAACCGAAUGGGGAAUUUCAAUGGUAAUUGUCGAACUUUUUUUUAAUGGCGGUCAAUUCCUGUGAGGAGGUAUAGAUGACUGGCAAGAGUUGGAAUGUCCUUAUUGUGGAGUGGUUGCAAUAAUACACAUCACUUUUAAAUAUGUUAUUAUUGUUAUGGAAAUAUGACUAGUCUUUAUUAGCAGCGCAACCUUUUUGGUAAUGGAAGAUUAUGUGCACUUAAUAUAUCUAUGCAUAAAUCUGAUAAAAUUUCUAAUCUCAUGUUGCUUCAUUUAUAAUAUUGCGUAUCUAUGCCAGUGACAUUGAAUCAGAAUGGAUAGCGGAGGAUGAGCUUGGUGUAUACAUCACCAUCAGACAGCUUCUUGAUGGCACUAGAGAGCUUCGGCAUGUCAAAUUCAGCCGUGAAAAAUUUGGAGAGGUGCAUGCCAAGCAUUGGUGGGAAACUAACAGGGACAGGAUACAAACUCAGUGUCUUUGCUAUAUUACGGAUCAUAUUAAAUCAUAUCUCCUAACCAUGAUUAUCUGUAGUUUAUUAUUUAUAUGUUUAAAGAUGGUUUACUUUGGUGAAUACACAAUGAGUAAUGUAGUCAGACCUACUUCAUGCCUUAGAUAAUGAUUUUAGAGAAUGUAUAUGUAUCAUGACUGAUAUUAUUUUAAUUUUUGUGCAGCACACUCGGUCAGGGGGCAGUAAGCAUCUCAGGGAAGUCUUGUUUUCUAUAGCAGUAGCCAUUUUGGGACUCCUCUUAUUUGCUCUGCUCAUUGGUAAUAUGCAAGUAUAUAUCUAAGCUCCUCUUAUUUUACUCUUAUAUUCUCAUGCUGGAGCCGGAAGAUGCAACAAUAUAUCUGAUUUGAUUAUUUAAAACUUUCUUGAUCUUCAUAUUUGUCACAAGGUUCCUCUUGUUGAUAAGUUUUAGGUUCUUCUUGGUUUCUUUGGGUACUCAGCGGUGCUAUAUAUGCAUUUUGUAACAUCCAUCAUUCAAGAAAUAACAACAGCUCUGGGAAUUUACUGCUUCAGGAUAACUAGAAAAGAAGCUUAAGCUGUGACUGCUGCACGAUUUUCGCUGUGCCUGCUUGUAUCUUGAGGUAUCAACAAAUCAUUUUGGGACUCUCUCUUAUUUGCUUCCAAUUUGAAGGUGAAAGCUAAUGACUAUUUGGAUUGAUGAGAAGCUGAAUAGCUUUAAAAGUGGAGCCUAGAGGUUCCAUUCUAAGACAGUUGGUACCACAGAGAAACCUAUUUUAAAAUAGUUGAUAUAAUAUACACCAUGUAAUAAAUUUUUUACUCAUGGUUGAGUUCCUUCACCAGAAUAUUCCUCGGUGAUAUUUGAAAUUUCAGAUUUGAAAUAAAGCAUUGUUAUAUUGGGAUUGAUCUCA
Molecule: long non-coding RNA, 1727 nt
Organism: Salvia miltiorrhiza (redroot sage)
Lineage: Eukaryota; Viridiplantae; Streptophyta; Magnoliopsida; Lamiales; Lamiaceae
Exons: 6
Source: RefSeq, a predicted model, not a curated record